This 775-nucleotide ribosomal RNA is filed under the name uncultured Neocallimastigales. RNAcentral's name for it is "partial large subunit ribosomal RNA". It matches the Rfam family "Eukaryotic large subunit ribosomal RNA", at positions 24 to 643 of the family's 3401-position model. Lineage: Eukaryota; Fungi; Neocallimastigomycota; Neocallimastigomycetes; Neocallimastigales. The record is from RNAcentral.
UAUGUGAUCGUCUCUCGCAUAUCAAUAAGCGGAGGAAAAGAAACUAACAAGGAUUCCCCUAGUAACGGCGAGUGAAGCGGGAAGAGCUCAAAUUUGAAAUCUUAAAGGGUUUCCCUUUACGAAUUGUAGUUUAAAGAAGUGUUUUCUGUUGAGGUUUUGGUAAAAGUUCUUUGGAAUAGGACAUCAUAGAGGGUGAGAAUCCCGUAUUUGACCUUUACUUUCAACUUUGUGAUACACUUUCAAAGAGUCGGAUUGUUUGGGAAUGCAGUCCAAAAUGGGUGGUAAAUUUCAUCUAAAGCUAAAUAUUGGCGAGAGACCGAUAGCGAACAAGUACCGUGAGGGAAAGAUGAAAAGAACUUUGAAAAGAGAGUUAAACAGUACGUGAAAUUGUCAAAAGGGAAGCGUUUGACACCAGUGUUGUUUUUCUGAAAAUCAAUUAAAGAACUGUUUAUGCUAAGUUGUUUAGACUUUAUCAGCUAUACUGUUUAGUUUUGAGCUUUUCUUUAAUGCACUUUUCAGUUAACAAGUCAACAUCAAUUUCUUUUGCUGUAAAAAAGCUUGAGGAAGGUGGCUUGAGAUUCGUCUUAAGUGUUUAUAGCCUCUUGCCUAUGCAGUCGGAGAGAUUGAGGUCUGCAGCGUAGAUCCUUCGGGGCUAAAUGCAUUUGUGCUAAGUUAUAGCAUUUUAUAGACAACUUGUUGACUAUGAUUUGUCUUGUAGCUUACUCGCUUAUGUUAUUUUACCUACGCUUAGGAUGUUGACACACGCGCGUGCUCG